AUUGAACGCUGGCGGCAUGCUUUACACAUGCAAGUCGAACGGUAACAGGCCGCAAGGUGCUGACGAGUGGCGAACGGGUGAGUAAUGCAUCGGAACGUGCCCAGUCGUGGGGGAUAACUACUCGAAAGAGUAGCUAAUACCGCAUACGAUCUAUGGAUGAAAGCGGGGGACCGUAAGGCCUCGCGCGAUUGGAGCGGCCGAUGUCAGAUUAGGUAGUUGGUGGGGUAAAGGCUCACCAAGCCAACGAUCUGUAGCUGGUCUGAGAGGACGACCAGCCACACUGGGACUGAGACACGGCCCAGACUCCUACGGGAGGCAGCAGUGGGGAAUUUUGGACAAUGGGCGCAAGCCUGAUCCAGCAAUGCCGCGUGCAGGAAGAAGGCCUUCGGGUUGUAAACUGCUUUUGUACGGAACGAAACGGCUCUGGUUAAUACCCGGGGCUAAUGACGGUACCGUAAGAAUAAGCUCCGGCUAACUACGUG
This 482-nucleotide ribosomal RNA is filed under the name uncultured bacterium. RNAcentral's name for it is "partial 16S ribosomal RNA". It matches the Rfam family "Bacterial small subunit ribosomal RNA", at positions 30 to 507 of the family's 1533-position model. The record is from RNAcentral.